GGGGGCGGUCUACCAUGCAAGUCGAACGGUAACAGGAAGAAGCUUGCUUCUUUGCUGACGAGUGGCGGACGGGUGAGUAAUGUCUGGGAAACUGCCUGAUGGAGGGGGAUAACUACUGGAAACGGUAGCUAAUACCGCAUAACGUCGCAAGACCAAAGAGGGGGACCUUCGGGCCUCUUGCCAUCGGAUGUGCCCAGAUGGGAUUAGCUAGUAGGUGGGGUAACGGCUCACCUAGGCGACGAUCCCUAGCUGGUCUGAGAGGAUGACCAGCCACACUGGAACUGAGACACGGUCCAGACUCCUACGGGAGGCAGCAGUGGGGAAUAUUGCACAAUGGGCGCAAGCCUGAUGCAGCCAUGCCGCGUGUAUGAAGAAGGCCUUCGGGUUGUAAAGUACUUUCAGCGGGGAGGAAGGGAGUAAAGUUAAUACCUUUGCUCAUUGACGUUACCCGCAGAAGAAGCACCGGCUAACUCCGUGCCAGCAGCCGCGGUAAUACGGAGGGUGCAAGCGUUAAUCGGAAUUACUGGGCGUAAAGCGCACGCAGGCGGUUUGUUAAGUCAGAUGUGAAAUCCCCGGGCUCAACCUGGGAACUGCAUCUGA
This 600-nucleotide ribosomal RNA is filed under the name Escherichia coli. Its description in RNAcentral is "bacterial SSU rRNA". It matches the Rfam family "Bacterial small subunit ribosomal RNA", at positions 42 to 630 of the family's 1533-position model. Lineage: Bacteria; Pseudomonadati; Pseudomonadota; Gammaproteobacteria; Enterobacterales; Enterobacteriaceae. The record is from RNAcentral.